RNAcentral lists this unclassified non-coding RNA (364 nucleotides) under uncultured bacterium. RNAcentral describes it as "contains 16S-23S intergenic spacer region". The record is from RNAcentral.
UCCCGGUUGGCCCGGGCAGUCUCGUAUGAGAAAUUCAACAUACGAUAAGGGUUGCGCUCGUUGCGGGACUUAACCCAACAUCUCACGACACGAGCUGACGACGGCCAUGCAGCACCUGUCACUAGGUUCCCGAAGGCACAGCACUGUUUCCAGCGCCUUCCUAGGAUGUCAAGCCUUGGUAAGGUUCUGCGCGUAGCAUCGCAUUAAACCACAUCAUCCUCUGCUUGUGCGGGUCCCCGUCAAUUCCUUUGAGUUUUAAGCUUGCGCUCGUACUCCCCAGGCGGCAGGCUUAUCGCGUUAGCUUCUCAGCCCAAGGGGUCGAUACCUCAGACUAAUAGCCUGCAUCGUUUACGGCGUGGACUAC